RNAcentral lists this long non-coding RNA (1045 nucleotides) under Phasianus colchicus (ring-necked pheasant). RNAcentral's name for it is "lncRNA (ENSPCLG00000000256.1)". The record is from RNAcentral. Lineage: Eukaryota; Metazoa; Chordata; Aves; Galliformes; Phasianidae.
UGGCAGCUUUGGUUUUGCUUUAUGGGUGGUCUUUGUUCUUCAAGACUCAUAUGAAUACCACAUAUUAGCUGAGCUGGUUCUCCCUUGAUGUCUGUGUUGUAUUGUACACAUGUUGUCACUGUUUGACACUUAAACAAUCCAGAUUCUUACCCAGCCCAUAUUUAGUGCCAUAAUAAACUUCGGAGCAUAUGUUUUUGAGAGCAACAGUAACAUUCAUCACUGCAAUGUGACAUAAAAAUAAGCACUACUGGAGAGCCGGCGUGCCUUCAGAGGGCAGAGCUGGACUGGAAGGUGAAGGGAUGUGGUCAUCAUCUGUGCUGCUCUUACUGGGCUCUUUUCUUCCUCGCCUUGUCUCAGUAAAUCAAAGCAGUUGUUGAAGUGACCUCCAAAAUUCACCCCGUACAUGUGAAAAACACACACUGUUACAAAACUUUUUUAGUGAAACAUUUCCUGUUUGGGGCUUUGGCUUGACAAACCAGAGAUGCAUAAACCAUCGCUCCUCUCUUCAUCUCUCUCAUUCUCUCUUUCAGCAGGGAGUUCCUCUGGGGCCCAGUCCGAAGCACCGGUCUGGCAGCUGCGCCGCACCAAUGCCUCCCGCUCCCUAUUGAUGUCACUUGGAGAUCUGAUUGUCAACAUCACAAAAACAGCACCAGGAAAAGCCACAAGAUACUGCAUAAAGCCCAGAACGACUGAAAGUUGGAGGACUUCUUUUCAGGAGACAAAUUUUCACUGGUUUAUCAGCCUCUGCUUUUAUGGAUCUUUUAUGGAUAUAAGGACAAGUUCAGCUUCCUUCUCCGUUUAGCUGACAUAAUUUACAGUCGGAUGCACCAUAGACGGACGGAACGCCGAAAUAUUGCAGCUGCAGACGGAGCGAAGGGCCGCGAUCAGCGCAGCGUGAGCUCCCCCUGCCCGCCGCUGCGGGAGGAGCUGCGGUUCCCCAUUUUCAUCUCGCCCCCUACAGCCCGUGAACGAAACGCACACCAGGUAUUUAAGGCUUCGACCUGUUUCGCUCCAAUAAUAAAAGAAUUGUAUGAAAAUGAUAUCA